GCUUACGGCCAUACCAGCCUGAAUGCACCUGAUCUCGUCAGAUCUCGGAAGCUAAGCAGGGUCGGGCCUGGUUAGUACUUGGAUGGGAGACUUCCUGGGAAUACCCAGGUGCUGUAAGCA
RNAcentral lists this ribosomal RNA (120 nucleotides) under Hucho hucho (huchen). The record is from RNAcentral. Lineage: Eukaryota; Metazoa; Chordata; Actinopteri; Salmoniformes; Salmonidae.